GCGUGCUAUACAUGCAGUCGAGCGGACUUAAAAAGCUUGCCUUUUAAGUUAGCGGCGGACGGGUGAGUAACACGUGGGCAACCUGCCUGUAAGACUGGGAUAACUUCGGGAAACCGGAGCUAAUACCGGAUAAUCCUUUUCUACUCAUGUAGAAAAGCUGAAAGACGGUUUACGCUGUCACUUACAGAUGGGCCCGCGGCGCAUUAGCUAGUUGGUGAGGUAACGGCUCACCAAGGCGACGAUGCGUAGCCGACCUGAGAGGGUGAUCGGCCACACUGGGACUGAGACACGGCCCAGACUCCUACGGGAGGCAGCAGUAGGGAAUCUUCCGCAAUGGACGAAAGUCUGACGGAGCAACGCCGCGUGAGUGAUGAAGGUUUUCGGAUCGUAAAACUCUGUUGUUAGGGAAGAACAAGUACGAGAGUAACUGCUCGUACCUUGACGGUACCUAACCAGAAAGCCACGGCUAACUACGUGCCAAGCAGCCGCGGUAAUACGUAGGUGGCAAGCGUUGUCCGGAAUUAUUGGGC
Molecule: ribosomal RNA, 530 nt
Filed under: uncultured bacterium
Lineage: Bacteria
Description: bacterial SSU rRNA
Rfam family: Bacterial small subunit ribosomal RNA
Source: RNAcentral